AUACGUAGGGGGCGAGCGUUGUCCGGAAUGAUUGGGCGUAAAGGGCGCGUAGGCGGCGCGGUAAGUCUGGAGUGAAAGUCCUGCUUUCAAGGUGGGAAUUGCUUCGGAUACUGCCGCGCUUGAGUGCAGGAGAGGUUAUCGGAAUUCCCGGUGUAGCGGUGAAAUGCGUAGAGAUCGGGAGGAACACCAGUGGCGAAGGCGGGUAACUGGACUGCAACUGACGCUGAGGCGCGAAAGUGUGGGGAGCAAACAGGAUGAGAUACCCUGGUAGUCCACACUGUAAACGAGGAAUGCUAGGUGUAAGAGGUAUCGACCCCUUUUGUGCCGGAGUCAACACAAUAAGCAUUCCGCCUGGGGAGUACGGCCGCAAGGUUGAAACUCAAAUGAAUUGACGGGG
RNAcentral lists this ribosomal RNA (397 nucleotides) under uncultured bacterium. RNAcentral describes it as "partial 16S ribosomal RNA". It matches the Rfam family "Bacterial small subunit ribosomal RNA", at positions 523 to 918 of the family's 1533-position model. The record is from RNAcentral.